This 136-nucleotide ribosomal RNA is filed under the name bacterium 081620. RNAcentral's name for it is "partial 16S rRNA". It matches the Rfam family "Bacterial small subunit ribosomal RNA", at positions 355 to 507 of the family's 1533-position model. The record is from RNAcentral.
UGGGGAAUAUUGGACAAUGGGGGCAACCCUGAUCCAGCCAUGCCGCGUGGAUGAUGAAGGCCUUCGGGUUGUAAAGUCCUUUCGCGCACGACGAUGAUGACGGUAGUGCGAGAAGAAGCCUCGGCUAACCUCCGUG